Molecule: transfer RNA, 72 nt
Filed under: Dorymyrmex brunneus
Lineage: Eukaryota; Metazoa; Arthropoda; Insecta; Hymenoptera; Formicidae
Description: tRNA-Leu
Source: RNAcentral
AUUACUUUGGCAGAAUAAAGUGUAAUAAAUUUAGAAUUUAUAUAUAUAUAUGUAUUUAAUAUAUAAGUAAUA